RNAcentral lists this transfer RNA (70 nucleotides) under Ictidomys tridecemlineatus (thirteen-lined ground squirrel). RNAcentral's name for it is "Spermophilus tridecemlineatus (thirteen-lined ground squirrel) tRNA". It matches the Rfam family "tRNA". From Rfam's summary of the family: Transfer RNA (tRNA) molecules are approximately 80 nucleotides in length. The record is from Rfam by way of RNAcentral. Lineage: Eukaryota; Metazoa; Chordata; Mammalia; Rodentia; Sciuridae.
GGGAUUGUGGCUCAGUGGUAGAGCACUCCCCUAACACGGGCGAGACCUGGGUUCGAUCCUCAGCACCCCA